This 458-nucleotide ribosomal RNA is filed under the name uncultured microorganism. RNAcentral's name for it is "bacterial SSU rRNA". It matches the Rfam family "Bacterial small subunit ribosomal RNA", at positions 9 to 441 of the family's 1533-position model. The record is from RNAcentral.
GAGUUUGAUCGUGGCUCAGGAUGAACGCCGGCGGUGUGCCUAAUACAUGCAAGUCGUACGCACUGGCCCAACUGAUUGAUGGUGCUUGCACCUGAUCGACGAUGGAUCACCAGUGAGUGGCGGACGGGUGAGUAACACGUAGGUAACCUGCCCUGUACAGGGGAUAACAAUCAGAAAUGACUGCUAAUACCGCAUAAGACCACAGCACCGCAUGGUGCAGGGGUAAAAACUCCGGUGGUACAGGAUGGACCCGCGUCUGAUUAGCUGGUUGGUGAGGUAACGGCUCACCAAGGCGACGAUCAGUAGCCGGCUUGAGAGAGUGAACGGCCACAUUGGGACUGAGACACGGCCCAAACUCCUACGGGAGGCAGCAGUGGGAAUAUUGCACAAUGGGGAAACCCGUGAUGCAGCAACGCGCGUGAGUGAAGAAGUAUUCGGUAUGUAAAGCUCUAUCAGCA